UCCUUCUACGCGGCCCCGCCCAUUCCCUGAUUUCUCGGAUGGAUUGCAACUAAUCAUGAUUCAUUCCCCGAUUCUUCUUUCUCCAUGCCCCUAAUUCCCUCAAGAAAAAGAAAGAACGGAUCCACCAUCGCUUCUCCCUUCCCCUACCUCUGAAUCUGCCCCGAGUUACCCUGCCUCCGGUGGCCGCCCGCGCUCUUGCAAGCCGCCUACGGCCUCCUCUGCAGGACGCCAUGGCCACGGAUUAAAGCUCCGUCGGACUUUCGCUCGCGACUGCCGGCCUUCUUCACGACCAGAUCGACGACGGGGACGACCGGAUCUGCCCCGCCACCUUUCAUUUCUGCCUCGCCUAGCAGCACUGCGCAUCUGCCCCACCUCCCCAGCCAGCGCAGCCGCCCCUCCGUGUCUGAGUCCCUGUGCUGGCCAGUGGCCACGCCCACCGCCUGCCCAGCACCGCUCUCCCGUUGCCUUAAACAAUCCAGCUCCACCACUAAUCCAUGCCCCUGCCCCGCGACUGAAGAGGAUCAGGUGACAAAUGUAACAAUUUAUUUGAAUCAAAUGUGAUUUUUCAAUUGUAAAUGUACGAUAGUGCCAAUGUUUAUUCUAUCUGUGUAUCAUCUUCUGUUUACUUCACACGUCUAUUGCACAAUAUCCCAUUUCUGAAUGUUAUGUCUCGAUUUCACAUGCAGUUCAUAUAUUGCAUUGUAAUAACACUUUAUUUCUAACUUAUAAAUCGGAAUGUAACAGGUUCAUUGUAAAUCUGUGACAUUCAUUCUAUAUGAAAUAUGAUAUAUCAGCUUCAGACAAAGAAGUUCAACCUACCACCUUAUUUUCUUGUUAAUGUAUUUUAGUCAAGCUAUCUUAAGUGACUUGUUCCGGCGACGGUCAAGAACUAUCCUGGACAAUGUUAAACAUAGAUAGCAAUGCAUAUUUGCCCUGUUCCACAUGCAUUACAGUUAUGUUGGAUCCUUCUGAAUUUCAUAGAAGCACAAGCUGCUAGCAUAGCGGUGUGCAGGGGGGAGGCCUUGAGCAGACAGGUGACUGUGUCGCUGGGGCAGCGGAUAUGAGGCAUAUCUGCAGGCACCAGAUGGUAGGCAAGAGGCACAUGGCAGUGUGGCGAGCCAGUGGCUUGCUGCUGUUGCGAGAGGGCUACCUAGAAGAUGGACAUGAAGAAUAUGGUGCCAGCAAUGGCAAAGGGGAAGGCAGGGAGUGGUAAAGUGAAAGGUUUGACAAGAUACUUUGGCUUAGUAUACGAGAUAUAGAUACUCCACAACAUGUGUAUGGUCGCGUAACUCUUGGUUCUCCUAAAUCAGCCUUCGAUCACAUGAAGGUAUACCCCGGUGCAGGUUUGUGAUAAGAUCGGAUUUGAGGUGUAUUUAUAACGAUCACAUAAAUGAAAGGCUACAGGAAGAUUUUGGAAAUGGCAAUGGUGUCAACAAAGACAUGAGACAAGAGCUUGGACUGGCGGCAUCGACUGAAAAAUCAUCCCAACCAUCUUGGAGACAGCCAGGCAGGUGUUGCGAGCUGUGAUGCCUGAGGCACCCGCCGAGAAAAUGGGGUUCGACAUGAUGAUCAAGGAAGCGCAGGAAACAGAGAAACCGAAAUUAUGUUUGCAAGAUGGUUAUCAUAUAUUCUAAUUCAGACACAACCGAUGAUACAACAACGCUCUUCGCCAAAUUCUAAUUCAGUCGAGCGUAUCUUAGCUUGGGACCAUGCCCGUGCAACAGUUUUUGUCAUCUUCAUGCCCCAUAUAAGUUGCUUCUGUCAUGCAUAGAAGACAAAGACGCCACCGACAGCAGCGACACACAUAGUGAGGUCAUUGCCCGACAGGAUUUUUCUUUGAGCUGCCUGGAGACUUGCUUUGAGCUACUAGGAGACAUCCAGUGUUGGUGUAUUCUCCCUUCAUUUCCCUUGUUUUUUCAUUGAAAAUCUGAACAUAUGUAGUUGAUUUCCAGAUUUCGAUCGCCCUACAAUAUUUUUGACUUAGUUAUUUGUACAUAGUACGAGCUUGAAUAUUGAAUAAGCAGAUCUAUUAAAUAUAUAAAUAGAAUUUUGUGCAUUA
Molecule: long non-coding RNA, 2059 nt
Organism: Triticum aestivum (bread wheat)
Lineage: Eukaryota; Viridiplantae; Streptophyta; Magnoliopsida; Poales; Poaceae
Exons: 6
Source: RefSeq, a predicted model, not a curated record